RNAcentral lists this ribosomal RNA (441 nucleotides) under uncultured bacterium. RNAcentral's name for it is "partial 16S ribosomal RNA". It matches the Rfam family "Bacterial small subunit ribosomal RNA", at positions 338 to 795 of the family's 1533-position model. The record is from RNAcentral.
CCUACGGGAGGCAGCAGUGGGGGAUAUUGCACAAUGGGGGGAACCCUGAUGCAGCGACGCCGCGUGGGUGAAGGAGUAUUUCGGUAUGUAAAGCCCUAUCGGUAGGGAAGUAUUUAGACGGUACCUGACUAAGAAGCCCCGGCUAACUACGUGCCAGCAGCCGCGGUAAUACGGAGGGGGCAAGCGUUAUCCGGAUUCACUGGGUGUAAAGGGAGCGUAGACGGCCUGGCAAGCCUGGAGUGAAUGCGCGGGGCCCAACCCCGGGACUGCUCUGGAUACCGUCCGGCUGGAGUGCGGGCGGGGCAGGCGGAAUUCCUGGUGUAGCGGUGAAAUGCGUAGAGAUCAGGAAGAACACCGGCUGCGAAGGCGGCCUGCUGGACCGCGACUGACGUUGAGGCUCGAAAGCGUGGGGAGCGAACAGGAUUAGAUACCCGGGUAGUC